RNAcentral lists this ribosomal RNA (320 nucleotides) under uncultured bacterium. RNAcentral's name for it is "bacterial SSU rRNA". It matches the Rfam family "Bacterial small subunit ribosomal RNA", at positions 185 to 525 of the family's 1533-position model. The record is from RNAcentral.
GGGCGAUUGGGCCGACGGAAAGAUUUAUCGCUAAAGGAUCGGCCCGCGUCUGAUUAGGUAGUUGGUAGGGUAACGGCCUACCAAGCCUACGAUCAGUAGCUGGUCUGAGAGGAUGAUCAGCCACACUGGGACUGAGACACGGCCCAGACUCCUACGGGAGGCAGCAGUGGGGAAUAUUGGACAAUGGGGGAAACCCUGAUCCAGCCAUGCCGCGUGAGUGAAGAAGGCCUUCGGGUUGUAAAGCUCUUUCGGCGGGGACGAUGAUGACGGUACCCGCAUAAGAAGCCCCGGCAAACUUCGUGCCAGCAGCCGCGGUAAUA